AACGAACGCUGGCGGCAUGCCUAACACAUGCGAGUCGAACGAGACCUUCGGGUCUAGUGGCGCACGGGUGCGUAACGCGUGGGAACCUGCCCUUAGGUUCGGAAUAACUCCCCGAAAGGGGUGCUAAUACCGGAUAAUGUCUUCGGACCAAAGAUUUAUCGCCUUUGGAUGGGCCCGCGUUGGAUUAGCUAGUUGGUAGGGUAAAAGCCUACCAAGGCGACGAUCCAUAGCUGGUCUGAGAGGAUGAUCAGCCACACUGGGACUGAGACACGGCCCAGACUCCUACGGGAGGCAGCAGUGGGGAAUAUUGGACAAUGGGCGAAAGCCUGAUCCAGCAAUGCCGCGUGAGUGAUGAAGGCCUUAGGGUUGUAAAGCUCUUUUACCCGGGAUGAUAAUGACAGUACCGGGAGAAUAAGCCCCGGCUAACUCCGUG
Molecule: ribosomal RNA, 433 nt
Filed under: uncultured bacterium
Lineage: Bacteria
Description: partial 16S ribosomal RNA
Rfam family: Bacterial small subunit ribosomal RNA
Source: RNAcentral